AAAAAUAUUCUUAACAUCCUUCUAAAGUUCUAAACCUCGGAGAUCUAGGCGAAGUUCUGUCCGUAACGCUAGCCUACGAAAACCUUUUAGGAAGCUAACAAUUUCGGUUGUUUUAUCAAGACGCAAGGUAAGAGGCCCCAAAUAUAAAUCGUUGAUGAGUAUACGUGGAGCCAACAUGACUGUACAUAUGGGGCUGACCUGAAGGGAGUGGAGUUCUGCUAUGCUAUUUUAUAAAUAAACAAGAAACUUGGUUUUAUUAUAUUUCAUUAAAAGUAUUUUGUGAACUUUAUCAUUUACUUAAAGCUUUAA
Long non-coding RNA from Humulus lupulus (European hop), 309 nucleotides. RefSeq lists it as uncharacterized. The record is from RefSeq and is a predicted model, not a curated record. NCBI's taxonomy places the organism in Eukaryota, Viridiplantae, Streptophyta, Magnoliopsida, Rosales, Cannabaceae. The transcript is spliced from 3 exons.